Molecule: long non-coding RNA, 1031 nt
Filed under: Fukomys damarensis (Damara mole-rat)
Lineage: Eukaryota; Metazoa; Chordata; Mammalia; Rodentia; Bathyergidae
Description: lncRNA (ENSFDAG00000023248.1)
Source: RNAcentral
CAGAACCACUAACGUGAUGCAGAUGGGGGCCUUUAAGAGCAUCUGAUGCGACUUAGUUGUCUAAGGAGGAAACUAAUGUUGGAACUACAAUGGGGGCACUGAAGAGUUUGAUGGCUCACAGGCAGUUAGGAAGAGAUUCUGAAUUCCUGAGGCUGAGCCCAGAACUUUCCAUAGCCUGAGAUUCUGAAAAAGGGCCACCACGGCACACCAAACAAUCCAGAUGUUCCUGCUGCCUAGUGAUUUGGCUGGGUGAUGGCCCUCAUAUCUCAGUGUUCAAGGAAGACCAUGCUUGGGUGCGCGGCAGGCACAUUCAAGCAACUGUGAUGCUUUGUGGGAGGCCUCAGCAGGCACAUCAGGGAUAAAACAUCUUUGACAUUGUGAUUAACAAAUACUCUGUCAACACAAGAAAAGGUGGCGUGUGUCUGAUCUCACUUGCCUUUUAGAGUGAGCAGUAUCUUCUGAGUUGGCCACUGGAACACAGUUUCUCUCUAAGCAUGAGUCAGUGGCUCACUUCAGGCUACACCCGAACAGUGUCAGCAGCACGAAGAUGUGUCAGACUUCUCAGAAUCCUGUGGAACAGAGCAGACAGGAGGUGGAGACAAUGAAGAGAGAGAAGAAAACACCACAAAUCCUGUCUGCAGCACCCUCCCCUCCCUGGGACAAAGGGCAGAUUUAUUCCUUCCUUCGGGGGAUUAAUAACAUCAGCAAUAAUAACCAAUACUUAACAGCAUGCCUGGCAAAUACUCAUAAAGAAAUAACACUUAAUUUACCUAAUCCUAGUGACAGCUCCAGUGAAAUAAUGAACUAUUAUUAUAGCCAUUUUAUAGAUGAGAUUGAGGUCUAAAGAAAUUGAAUAUCACAUCUCUCGUUAGUGGUAAAUCUAUAUUUGCAUCCAAUCAAUUGGACCCCUGAUAACCUGUGCUCUUACCCACCAUAUAGUCUUUUAUUUUUAAGUCUCCACCCAAGUUAUCCCCAUAUGAGACAAAUCCUGCCUAUAUCUCCCACCUUUCCCUGACUAGAAAUCAGCCGCA